RNAcentral lists this ribosomal RNA (517 nucleotides) under uncultured bacterium. Its description in RNAcentral is "bacterial SSU rRNA". It matches the Rfam family "Bacterial small subunit ribosomal RNA", at positions 30 to 518 of the family's 1533-position model. The record is from RNAcentral.
CGAACGCUGGCGGCGUGCCUAAUACAUGCAAGUCGAACGGUCUUUCUAUGGAAGCUUGCUUCCACUGAGAAGAUAGUGGCGGACGGGUGAGUAACACGUGGGUAACCUGCCCAUAAGAGGGGGAUAACAUCCGGAAACGGGUGCUAAUACCGCAUAGUUUUCUUGAUCGCAUGAUUGAGAAAGGAAAGACGGCCUUUGUGCUGUCGCUUAUGGAUGGACCCGCGGCGUAUUAGUUAGUUGGUGAGGUAAUGGCUCACCAAGACGAUGAUACGUAGCCGACCUGAGAGGGUGAUCGGCCACAUUGGGACUGAGACACGGCCCAAACUCCUACGGGAGGCAGCAGUAGGGAAUCUUCCGCAAUGGACGAAAGUCUGACGGAGCAACGCCGCGUGAGUGAAGAAAAGGGUUUUCGGAUCGUAAAACUCUGUUGUCAGAGAAGAACAAGUUGGAGAGUAACUGCUCCAGCCUUGACGGUAUCUGACCAGAAAGCCACGGCUAACUACGUGCCAGCCGCGGC